UCCCUGGUGGCUCAGAGGGUAAAGCGUCUGCCUGCAAUGCAGGAGACCUGGGUUCGAUCCCUGGGUUGGGAA
Non-coding RNA from Bos taurus (domestic cattle), 72 nucleotides. The record is from Rfam. NCBI's taxonomy places the organism in Eukaryota, Metazoa, Chordata, Mammalia, Artiodactyla, Bovidae.